UACGGGGGGGGCAAGCGUUGUUCGGAAUUACUGGGCGUAAAGGGCUCGUAGGUGGCCAACUAAGUCAGACGUGAAAUCCCUCGGCUUAACCGGGGAACUGCGUCUGAUACUGGAUGGCUUGAGUUUGGGAGAGGGAUGCGGAAUUCCAGGUGUAGCGGUGAAAUGCGUAGAUAUCUGGAGGAACACCGGUGGCGAAGGCGGCAUCCUGGACCAACACUGACACUGAGGAGCGAAAGCUAGGGGAGCAAACGGG
Molecule: ribosomal RNA, 253 nt
Filed under: uncultured bacterium
Lineage: Bacteria
Description: partial 16S ribosomal RNA
Rfam family: Bacterial small subunit ribosomal RNA
Source: RNAcentral